AUUGAACGCUGGCGGCAUGCCUUACACAUGCAAGUCGAACGGUAACGCGGGGCAACCUGGCGACGAGUGGCGAACGGGUGAGUAAUGUAUCGGAACGUGCCCAGUUGUGGGGGAUAACUGCUCGAAAGAGCAGCUAAUACCGCAUACGACCUGAGGGUGAAAGCGGGGGAUCGCAAGACCUCUCGCAAUUGGAGCGGCCGAUAUCAGAUUAGGUAGUUGGUGGGGUAAAGGCUCACCAAGCCAGCGAUCUGUAGCUGGUCUGAGAGGACGACCAGCCACACUGGGACUGAGACACGGGCCAGAAGCCUAAGGGAGGCAGCAGUGGGGAAUUUUGGACAAUGGACGCAAGUCUGAUCCAGCCAUGCCGCGUGCGGGAAGAAGGCCUUCGGGUUGUAAACCGCUUUUGUCAGGGAAGAAACGCUCUGGGUUAAUACCUCGGGGUAAUGACGGUACCUGAAGAAUAAGCACCGGCUAACUACGUGCCAGCCGCCGCCGUAA
RNAcentral lists this ribosomal RNA (498 nucleotides) under uncultured bacterium. Its description in RNAcentral is "partial 16S ribosomal RNA". It matches the Rfam family "Bacterial small subunit ribosomal RNA", at positions 29 to 523 of the family's 1533-position model. The record is from RNAcentral.